AGUCGAGCGGUAACAUUUCUAGCUUGCUAGAAGAUGACGAGCGGCGGACGGGUGAGUAACGCGUAGGAAUCUACCUAUUGGUGGGGGAUAGCCCAGGGAAACUUGGAUUAAUACCGCAUAAGCUCUUAGGAGGAAAGCGGGGGAUCUUCGGACCUCGUGCCAAUAGAUGAGCCUGCGUAAGAUUAGCUAGAUGGUGGGGUAAUGGCCUACCAUGGCGACGAUCUUUAGCUGGUCUGAGAGGAUGAUCAGCCACACUGGGACUGAGACACGGCCCAGACUCCUACGGGAGGCAGCAGUGGGGAAUAUUGCACAAUGGGCGCAAGCCUGAUGCAGCCAUGCCGCGUGUGUGAAGAAGGCCUUAGGGUUGUAAAGCACUUUCGGUGGGGAGGAAAGGUUAUAAGUUAAUACCUUAUAGCUGUGACGUUACCCACAGAAGAAGGACCGGCUAAUUCCGUGCCAGCAGCCGCGGUAAUACGGAAGGUCCGAGCGUUAAUCGGAAUUACUGGGCGUAAAGCGCACGUAGGCGGCUUGGUCAGUUGGGUGUGAAAGCCCCGGGCUCAACCUGGGAACUGCAUCCAAUACUGCCUGGCUAGAGUACGAGAGAGGGGGGUAGAAUUUCUAGUGUAGCGGUGAAAUGCGUAGAUAUUAGAAGGAAUACCAGUGGCGAAGGCGGCCCCCUGGCUCGAUACUGACGCUGA
This 698-nucleotide ribosomal RNA is filed under the name uncultured Gammaproteobacteria bacterium. RNAcentral describes it as "bacterial SSU rRNA". It matches the Rfam family "Bacterial small subunit ribosomal RNA", at positions 60 to 749 of the family's 1533-position model. The record is from RNAcentral. Lineage: Bacteria; Pseudomonadati; Pseudomonadota; Gammaproteobacteria.